This 468-nucleotide ribosomal RNA is filed under the name uncultured bacterium. RNAcentral's name for it is "partial 16S ribosomal RNA". It matches the Rfam family "Bacterial small subunit ribosomal RNA", at positions 28 to 507 of the family's 1533-position model. The record is from RNAcentral.
GAUGAACGCUGGCGGCGUGCUUAACACAUGCAAGUCGAACGGAAAGGCCGAAGCUUUCUUCGUUACUCGAGUGGCGAACGGGUGAGUAACACGUGGGUGUUCUGCCCUGUACUUCGGGAUAAGCUUGGGAAACUGGGUCUAAUAUCGGAUAUGACGAUUUCUUGGGUGGGGUUGUGGAAAGCUUUUGCGGUAUGGGAUGAGCUCGCGGCCUAUCCGCUUGUUGGUGGGGUAAUGGCCUACCAAGGCGUAGAGGGGUAGCCGGCCUGCGAGGGUGUACGGCCAGACUGGGACUGUGAGACAGGCAAGAGUCGGACAGGUGGCAGCAGUGGCGAAUAUUGGACAAUGCGAGCCAGCGUGAUGGAGGGAGGUCGCGUGAGCGAAGAAGGCUUUCGGGUUGGAAGCUCCUUUCGCUAUGGAAGAAGCCUUUUGGUGACGGUAGGUAGAGAAGAAGCCCCGGCUAACUACGUG